AUUGAACGCUGGCGGCAUGCCUUACACAUGCAAGUCGAACGGUAACAGGUCUUCGGAUGCUGACGAGUGGCGAACGGGUGAGUAAUACAUCGGAACGUGCCUAGUAGUGGGGGAUACCUACUCGAAAGAGUGGCUAAUACCGCAUGAGAUCUACGGAUGAAAGCAGGGGAUCGCAAGACCUUGUGCUACUAGAGCGGCCGAUGGCAGAUUAGGUAGUUGGUGGGAUAAAAGCUUACCAAGCCGACGAUCUGUAGCUGGUCCGAGAGGACGAUCAGCCACACUGGGACUGAGACACGGCCCAGACUCCUACGGGAGGCAGCAGUGGGGAAUUUUGGACAAUGGGCGCAAGCCUGAUCCAGCAAUGCCGCGUGCAGGAUGAAGGCCUUCGGGUUGUAAACUGCUUUUGUACGGAACGAAAAGCCCCGGGUUAAUACCCUGGGGUCAUGACGGUACCGUAAGAAUAAGCACCGGCUAACUACGUGCCAGCCGCCGCCGUAA
This 498-nucleotide ribosomal RNA is filed under the name uncultured bacterium. RNAcentral's name for it is "partial 16S ribosomal RNA". It matches the Rfam family "Bacterial small subunit ribosomal RNA", at positions 30 to 523 of the family's 1533-position model. The record is from RNAcentral.